RNAcentral lists this ribosomal RNA (396 nucleotides) under uncultured bacterium. RNAcentral describes it as "partial 16S ribosomal RNA". It matches the Rfam family "Bacterial small subunit ribosomal RNA", at positions 523 to 918 of the family's 1533-position model. The record is from RNAcentral.
AUACGUAGGUGGCAAGCGUUAUCCGGAUUUACUGGGUGUAAAGGGCGUGUAGGCGGGCCUGCAAGUCAGGUGUGAAAUUCCAGGGCUCAACCCUGGAACUGCACUUGAAACUGUGGGUCUUGAGUGAUGGAGAGGCAGGCGGAAUUCCGGGUGUAGCGGUGAAAUGCGUAGAUAUACGGAGGAACACCAGUGGCGAAGGCGGCCUGCUGGACAUUAACUGACGCUGAGGCGCGAAAGCGUGGGGAGCAAACAGGAUUAGAUACCCUGGUAGUCCACGCUGUAAACGAUGGAUACUAGGUGUGGGGGGUCUGACCCCCUCCGUGCCGCAGUUAACACAAUAAGUAUCCCACCUGGGGAGUACGAUCGCAAGGUUGAAACUCAAAUGAAUUGACGGGG